RNAcentral lists this ribosomal RNA (434 nucleotides) under Klebsiella michiganensis. RNAcentral's name for it is "partial 23S ribosomal RNA". It matches the Rfam family "Bacterial large subunit ribosomal RNA", at positions 1 to 474 of the family's 2925-position model. Lineage: Bacteria; Pseudomonadati; Pseudomonadota; Gammaproteobacteria; Enterobacterales; Enterobacteriaceae. The record is from RNAcentral.
GGUUAAGCGACUAAGCGUACACGGUGGAUGCCCUGGCAGUCAGAGGCGAUGAAGGACGUGCUAAUCUGCGAAAAGCGUCGGUAAGGUGAUAUGAACCGUUACAGCCGGCGAUGUCCGAAUGGGGAAACCCAGUGCAAUUCGUUGCACUAUCGUUUGAUGAAUACAUAGUCAAACGAGGCGAACCGGGGGAACUGAAACAUCUAAGUACCCCGAGGAAAAGAAAUCAACCGAGAUUCCCCCAGUAGCGGCGAGCGAACGGGGAGCAGCCCGGAGUCUGAAUCAGCUUGUGUGUUAGUGGAAGCGUCUGGAAAGUCGCAGGGUACAGGGUGAUACUCCCGUACACUAAAACACACAGGUUGUGAACUCGAAGAGUAGGGCGGGACACGUGGUAUCCUGUCUGAAUAUGGGGGGACCAUCCUCCAAGGCUAAAUACU